UGCGGGGCGGCCCCGGCGGUGCCAUGGCGGGUUCCCCUCAGGGCGGCCCCCGCUGCCCGCGCACGGCGGUGUUGCCGGGUUCCGGGCAGGAUGAGGUGGAACCGGGGGCGGGAAUAGUGAAUGCGGUCGUUUAUAUCGCCCCCUUUGUUCUUCCCUUGUGGAGUAUUUUUCUCUUUUGCCAGACAGCUGGAUGCAUGAAGAACCUUCGAAAAAAAAGGAUUAGAGCAGGACAGCAUUUUAGGAACAUCUGUGGAAGCCAUCGCCAGCUAUCUCUUUGCUGAAGACAGGUGCUGUUUUUAACCAGCAUUUCAUUACAGCAGGUAUCAUUGGCCUCUCCAGUUCCACGUUUAAAACUGGAUUCUGUCUUCAGAAGUGCACGAAUUUCUCAGGUCAUCAGAGAGUUUGCUGCAAUUGCCUGUCUGUGCUGCCAAGGCCACUGAAGUUAGCAGGGAAGCAAUUGAGUGUGUGCCAGCAUUCCUGCCUCUGACUGUCUGCUGGGUGUGAUUCCAUGGCCAAGUGUGGGCACUGUGGACAGGCAGAGGAUGAGGAGGAUGACUUCAUUGAGCCUGGCAGAAUCUCUGACUGAUCUGGCAAUGGGACUUAAGUAACAGACUUGAGUCACUUCUCCAAAGAAGUGACCCUGCUCCAUCCAAACCUGCACUAAGAAUCCUGGGGGAAUGAGUUGUGUGAACUCAGGAGGCAAAGAAUGUUCUCUCCAAUGUUCCCCAAAGUGGGAAGCAGGCACACCUCUCUGGAAAUGGCACAAGAGCUAAAAGUGGCCUGGGUAUGAUGAAGCAGCACUAUGGCCAUGAGUGGUGGUAAGUUUACCAAAUCCUAAGUCAUCAUGUGCCCAGACCGGCCCUAAAACCAACUUACACAGGUUACAACAGAACCCUUUGUGUUGUGUCAGCUGGGGCCUUAGCCCUUCCUCCUGUUUGCCUUGGACUUCCAAGUAGUUUGUACAUAUUUAAAACUGCCUUCCAGCUGUACUUCUGAAAAAAAUACAGGGAUGUAAAGACUUGAUCUAUGAGGUUCUGGUCAUCAAAUUUGUUUAAACUUGUAAGUUUAUAAAAUCGACCUGUGAAAGAAAAAUCCUAUUCUGGUGAAGCUGCUUCAAAAUAAAAAUAACUACAAAUGCUGCA
Pipra filicauda (Wire-tailed manakin) is the source of this 1142-nucleotide long non-coding RNA. RefSeq lists it as uncharacterized. The transcript has 6 exons. Lineage: Eukaryota; Metazoa; Chordata; Aves; Passeriformes; Pipridae. The record is from RefSeq and is a predicted model, not a curated record.